GCUGGAAUUGUAUGAUUGUGAAGACAUCGCGAACCUUAAAGGUUGAGAAGUGAACGGAUUAUACGGCGAACUGAGACGACGUGAAAAAGGGGAUUGGAAGCGGCAUUGAUGUGAGUACUAAGAGCCAGUCGAAAGUGCCCUGUAUAUUGACCUGGCGUUGUGUAGAUCUCUCCAGGAGGAGGAGGGCGGCCCUACCCCUAAUAUAGCGUGGUGGGAGAGCCGAAGGAAUACUUAUUGAAGUAGUCACAACGACGACAUCACUAGCUAGGCCGCAUAUUCCAUCGCCAGAUCCGAACCAAGCGAAGUGAAGGAAGACGGGUGUCCUUUUCGUACACUGAGUGUGGUGGGUGAGUCUUCAUGCUGUGAAAACCUAUAAUUUUGACGUGGUGCUGUAUAUUGCUGUGGGCUGCUGUGUAUUGCCGUGUGUCCUGUCAGAUAAACCCCCGCCUUCACGCACUUCGUCGCGGGAGGACAAGGAGACUGCUGGUCCUAGCCUAGUUCAGUACAGUAUAUGUUGUGAGCGUGCUUCAGAUCUCCGGAGAUAGCACAGUACGCUGUGUCCAGCCCAGAGGUGAAAGCCAUCCAAAGCAGAGUAACUGUGCUUUGCGUCCAAGUUGAUACCUGUGGAGAGGAAAGGAAAGAGAGUGAAUAACACGAGGAGGAAUAGAGCGAACCCUGUACUUACAGUACGCUGUGUCCAGCCCAGAGGUGAAAGCCAUCCAAAGCAGAGUAACUGUGCUUUGCGUCCAAGUUGAUACCUGUGGAGAGGAAAGGAAAGAGAGUGAAUAACACGAGGAGGAAUAGAGCGAACCCUGUACUUACAGUACGCUGUGUCCAGCCCAGAGGUGAAAGCCAUCCAAAGCAGAGUAACUGUGCUUUGCGUCCAAGUUGAUACCUGUGGAGAGAAAAGGAGAGAGAGGGAAUAACACGAGGAGGAAUAGAGCGAACCCUGUACUUACAGUACGCUGUGUCCAGCCCAGAGGUGAAAGCCAUCCAAAGCAGAGUAACUGUGCUUUGCGUCCAAGUUGAUACCUGUGGAGAGGAAAGGAAAGAGAGAUUGAUACCUGUGGAGAGAAAAGGAGAGAGAGUGGGUAACACGAGGAGAGACCGAGGAAACCUGUACUUACGCCGCUGCCUGUGGAGAAAGAGAAAGCGAGUGAGCACCCAAGGAACGAACUGUGUGAACCAGUACUUACUGUGAGCUGUAAUCAGCGAAGAGCCGUUGCCUGUGGAGGAAGAGAAAGAGAGUGAGCACCCCGAGAACGAACUGUGUGAACCAGUACUUACCGUGAGCUGUAUUCAGCGAAGAGGAGGAAGAAGGAGGGCGCUACGGAUACCUAAGACUCAGGCCGGGGCCCGAGUCCCACGCCCCGGAUCCCCGUGGCCCCCUUGCUCCCUGACCUCUUCCCGGCCAUAGCCCAUCUGGAGGGCCGAGUCAGAGUUUAGUUUUAAUUGCCCUUUCCCUAUUCCCCAAGCUAUUUUUAAAUAUUUAAAUAAAGAUUGUUUUAUCACUUACUUGUUCUCGUGU
Molecule: long non-coding RNA, 1528 nt
Organism: Cyprinus carpio (common carp)
Lineage: Eukaryota; Metazoa; Chordata; Actinopteri; Cypriniformes; Cyprinidae
Source: Ensembl